UGGGGAAUAUUGCACAAUGGGCGCAAGCCUGAUGCAGCGACGCCGCGUGGGGGGAUGACGGCCUUCGGGUUGUAAACCUCUUUCGCCUACGACGAAGCGAGAGUGACGGUAGUAGGAGAAGAAGCACCGGCCAACUACGUGCCAGCAGCCGCGGUAAUACGUAGGGUGCGAGCGUUGUCCGGAAUUACUGGGCGUAAAGAGCUCGUAGGCGGUUUGUCGCGUCGUCCGUGAAAACUUGGGGCUUAACUCCAAGCUUGCGGGCGAUACGGGCAGACUUGAGUACUGCAGGGGAGACUGGAAUUCCUGGUGUAGCGGUGAAAUGCGCAGAUAUCAGGAGGAACACCGGUGGCGAAGGCGGGGUCUCUGGGCAGUAACUGACGCUGAGGAGCGAAAGCGUGGGUAGCGAACAGGAUUAGAUACCCUGGUAGUCCACGCCGUAAACGGUGGGCGCUAGGUGUGGGUUUCCUUCCACGGGAUCCGUGCCGUAGCUAACGCA
This 496-nucleotide ribosomal RNA is filed under the name uncultured Actinomycetes bacterium. RNAcentral describes it as "bacterial SSU rRNA". It matches the Rfam family "Bacterial small subunit ribosomal RNA", at positions 355 to 859 of the family's 1533-position model. Lineage: Bacteria; Bacillati; Actinomycetota; Actinomycetes. The record is from RNAcentral.